RNAcentral lists this transfer RNA (72 nucleotides) under Phaeoacremonium minimum UCRPA7. Its description in RNAcentral is "tRNA-Thr (AGT) (tRNA-Thr-AGT-1-1)". It matches the Rfam family "tRNA". From Rfam's summary of the family: Transfer RNA (tRNA) molecules are approximately 80 nucleotides in length. Lineage: Eukaryota; Fungi; Ascomycota; Sordariomycetes; Togniniales; Togniniaceae. The record is from Rfam by way of RNAcentral.
GCCUCGAUGGCACAGUGGUAGCGCGCAUCACUAGUAAUGAUGAGAUCGGCGGUUCGAUUCCGCCUCGAGGCA